Molecule: ribosomal RNA, 497 nt
Filed under: uncultured bacterium
Lineage: Bacteria
Description: partial 16S ribosomal RNA
Rfam family: Bacterial small subunit ribosomal RNA
Source: RNAcentral
GAUGAACGCUGGCGGCGUGCCUAAUACAUGCAAGUCGAGCGAACAGACGAGGAGUUUUCUCCUCUGACGUUAGCGGCGGACGGGUGAUUAACACGUGUCUAACCUACCUAUAAGACUUGGAUAACUUCGCGAAACCUGAUCUAAUACCGGAUAAUAUAUUGAACCGCAUGGUUCAAUAGUGAAUGACGUUUUUGCUGUCACUUAUAGCUGCUUCCGCGCCGCAUUAGCUAGUUGGUAAGGUAACGGCUUACCAAGGCAACGAUGCGUAGCCGACCUGAGAGGGUGAUCGGCCACACUGGAACUGAGACACGGUCCAGACUCCUACGGGAGGCAGCAGUAGGGAAUCUUCCGCAAUGGGCGAAAGCCUGACGGAGCAACGCCGCGUGAGUGAUGAAGGUGUUCGGAUCGUAAAACUCUGUAAGUAGGGAAGAACAAAUGUGUAAGUAACUAUGCACGUCUUGACGGUACCUAAUGAGAAAGCAACGGCUAACUACGUG